Molecule: ribosomal RNA, 377 nt
Filed under: uncultured bacterium
Lineage: Bacteria
Description: bacterial SSU rRNA
Rfam family: Bacterial small subunit ribosomal RNA
Source: RNAcentral
UAAUACAGAGGGGGCCAGCGUUAUUCGGAAUUAUUGGGCGUAAAGGGCGCGUAGGCGGCCAUGCGUGUCUUCCGUGAAAUCCCUCGGCUUAACUGAGGACGUGCGGAAGAAACUGCAAGGCUCGAGUCCGGGAGAGGGGGGUGGAAUUCCCAGUGUAGCGGUGAAAUGCGUAGAUAUUGGGAGGAACACCGGUGGCGAAGGCGGCCCCCUGGACCGGUACUGACGCUGAGGCGCGAAAGCGUGGGUAGCAAACGGGAUUAGAUACCCUGGUAGUCCACGCUGUAAACGAUGGGCACUAGGUGUCCGGGGUAUUGACCCCCUGGGUGCCGCAGCUAACGCAUUAAGUGCCCCGCCUGGGGAGUACGGUCGCAAGAUUA